This 377-nucleotide long non-coding RNA is filed under the name Vitis vinifera (wine grape). RNAcentral's name for it is "long non-coding RNA (VVIN_LNC000695)". The record is from RNAcentral. Lineage: Eukaryota; Viridiplantae; Streptophyta; Magnoliopsida; Vitales; Vitaceae.
GAGAUACAAGGGCUUAAUAAAAGCAGCAACAGUAAUUGUUCCCGGUAGGAGGAUCGGUGGUACACAGGCCGGUGAGAUAUCCAUUUACAGAACAGGCCGGGACACACUCCUGAUUUGUCUCGCAUGGGAUCCACUCCUCAUUUGUCUGGCUGGGUCCCAGAAAAUCGCAAUUAGCUUCUGCCUCUUUACCACCUACCACAAGAAACCACUGUAUACGUUAUUUCUCAUUGCCAUUAACAUAAACCCAUACAUAUAAUAAAGAAAUAAUGAAAGGUGGUGUACCAAGAGAGAUGAUAAGAAAAACCAGGACGAGUGCAACAGCAGUUGAUUGCUUGGAAGACGCCAUGGAGGUGUAGAGAUGAGCUGCUUCAGGUUAG